GCAACUAGAAAACUAUACGGACCACUUUUGGGGAACUGAGUUGCUUUGGAAUUUCUGAGGACCCCCACAAAUGUCUCAAAUGGCCAAGAAAUUGAAGAUGAGUUGCAGUUGGAUUAGAGUCAAAAGUUCCAGAGCAGCAGUCCCAAGGAAGAAGAGUAUGCAGAAAUGAGGCAUUUGGCUGCUUAAGAAAUCAAAAGACAGACACAAAAACAGGGUGCUGCAGUGCCAGACGAAACCGCUGGCGCAAGCUGAGAGGGCUGCACUGGCUUCCCGUGACUCUCCUACACCUGGGAAUUUCCCCAUUCUUUGGG
Molecule: long non-coding RNA, 311 nt
Filed under: Callithrix jacchus (white-tufted-ear marmoset)
Lineage: Eukaryota; Metazoa; Chordata; Mammalia; Primates; Cebidae
Description: lncRNA (ENSCJAG00000076418.1)
Source: RNAcentral